UCACAUGUUCUGUUAGAUUCCAAAAACAAAAAUCAUCUGGUAGUGUUUCAUCUGCUACUCGAGCUGUAAUCUAACCAACAAGAAGGUGUAUUUUGAAGGUUUUAUUUGCAAAAAGGAACACAAGCCUCCAUCCAAUAAGGUAUUUUUAAAUAAUAUACAGAGUUCCCACUAUGAUUAAUCUUCGCGUAAUAUGGAAGAAAACUUACGCACUAUGAAGUAGGAAAGCCUAUCAACAGCAUAAAGAACAAAAGCACUGAAACCAUGUCUUUCGGCUCAAGUGUUGAUUGACGCAAUAAACUCAAAAAGUCUGGGAUGAUUGCAGCAUUUUGUCAUGUUUAAAUUUGACCCGGAAGUUUAUAUCCAUAGAACCCUCUCUAGCUGGGAAGAUCAUGAGGGAGAAGCAUCAGCAAUCUUCAACACUACUUGCGAGUGCGGCCGCAAUCACUGCACAAGCCACUUAAAUGACGACACAUUCACUCUCGUUUAGCAAUUUUCAAGCUCGGAGUUCGUAUUGUCAAAAUCUACGACAGUUUAUUCCACAAAACUUUGAAAUUAUCACGUAAGGUCUGCUUGUGGACAAAGGAAUAUCUUAAAGUCUAUCAUUCGUCACAAUGUCUGAGAUUGAUGCAUUUCAGUCAAAUAUCAAUGAUGCAAAAUGUAAAGUGAAGUGCUACAACUGAAACUCCUAUCGAUGCAUAAGAACUUCACCUAUGGUAGUCGAUGAUUUAUAAUUAAGGACUGGAAGGCAAUUUGUAUGCUCUUCAGAUAGAUUAUUUUCCAUUCACUUGCUGAAUGCCUUUCGAUCCGCUCAUAAAUGAUACGGUUAAGAUAAGCGCAAUCCUUUAGCUUUGCCUUCCAUUUCUUUACUGUGCAGCCAGAGGAUUAUAAAAGAACUUUUUGUCCAGCAUCUGACGUCUUUAAGUUCCACUCUAAGAACUUGGUAGUGCAAGGACGAUAACAUUUCAAGACAACAAGUUUUGCUCAAGAAGAACUUGGGGUUCAGAAUUGGUUUAUUGAGCUUUUUAUAUUGUUUAUUAUUUGUUUUCAAAUAAAAAUAAAAUAAAAAUUGAGUUUUUGGGUUACAAAAAUCAUAGCUAGACUUUAUUUUAUUUUAUUAGAGAGGUAGCUAUAAACUAAAUUGUGUUUGUUUUUGUAUUUUAAAAUGUUUUUUUAAAAAAUUAAAUUUUUAUUAUUUUUUCUUUGUUUUAAAUUCAUAUUAUUUUUGUAUUUUUAAAUUUUUUUGAUGUGUAGAUAUUAAAAAUAAUUUUUUAAAAUAUUAUUUUAAUAUAUUUCUAAACAAAAAACACUUUAAAAAAUAAUCAUUACCAAACUAUCAAACACUUUUAAAUUAUUUGUUUUCACAUAAAAAUAAAAUAAAAAUUGAGUUUUUAGGUUACAAAAAUCAGAGCUAGACUUUAUCAUUGACCAUAAAAAAAAUAGGCAGG
Molecule: long non-coding RNA, 1445 nt
Filed under: Populus trichocarpa (black cottonwood)
Lineage: Eukaryota; Viridiplantae; Streptophyta; Magnoliopsida; Malpighiales; Salicaceae
Description: long non-coding RNA (PTRI_LNC003415)
Source: RNAcentral